Molecule: non-coding RNA, 1711 nt
Organism: Zootermopsis nevadensis
Lineage: Eukaryota; Metazoa; Arthropoda; Insecta; Blattodea; Termopsidae
Source: RefSeq, a predicted model, not a curated record
UUCAAAAUGUAUCUUGUAAUUAUUACUGGUUGGCAGUUGCCCUGUAAAGUGGUUGUAGUUUUUGUCAGUUUAUUAGGUGAGAUAGGCUACAACUGCCUGGUUCCAAAUCCAUUUAUGAAUUACCAGGGUCAAUGCGGCGUAUUCUUAACCCUCGCUGGUGACGAAGCUUCGGUACACGGGCCCCAGAGCUGGUCUCAACAUGGCGGCAAAAAGAAACUGUUCUCCGGGUAAGCAAUGAAACCACUGUCGUCGAGCCCCACUGACCCAAUCAGUGAACGCACCCACGAUAGCAGUCUACGCUUGAGAAGUGCAUCACUCUUCAUUUGUCUCAAGGACGAGAAAUGGCGCGAUCGCUAUUGGCGUUCCAGUAUGUAAAGAGAAUGAACCGGAGUAGGAGGUAUUGUUUAACACGUUUGGAAGUGUUAUAAAGUUUUUGUGUGGAAUUUAUUAGUUUAGAGUGUAAUGCAGGACGUCAUUUUUGUCUACAACGCAAAGUGAUAGUGAAACGUUAUCAGUGAACUUUCAGAUUAACAUCUUGUUGCUGAUGGUAAGAAUCGUCCGAGUCUCCAUAGUAAGGAAUCCACUGUUGUUAGGACGGUAUAAUGAGUUCAAGAAAUGCUGUGUUCUGUUUUUGGAAAACACGAGGAUGCGUUUAAUUUACUUUAUUUAUAAAGACGAUAUGAAAGGACAUAGAACGAACAGACUGAGUGUUUCUUCGCAGUUUUACAGGCAGCACAGGUACGAGACAAUCGGUGAGCACAAAAUAUUUACUACUUUUCUCAAUGUAGGUCAGUGCUUCUCAACCUUUUGGUGCUCGCUGAUAUCAGUUUAUUCAUACGGCGCACUAGAAUUAGAAUAUAGAACUGAAAUUGAUAUAAGAGUACACCUAUUUUUAGAAAUCGUUUUUAUUUAGCUUGGUCCCACUCGUAAUAGGUUUUUCUUAUAACAAACGUGCCCAAUUUUAGAGGCACGCUAGUAAUAAUUAUUUUGUUCAAUGGAGAGCACAUCGUAUGUUUAGACUGAGCAACACGGAACCAUGCGUUCACAAACGUAAAUAUUUACUUUAGUGGCAAACUCUGUCAACAAAAAGUCAGUACGAAUUUAUGUUGAGUGGGGUGAAUUGCCUUUGUCUUAGUUUCUUUCUUGUAUGUAGGUCUAAAUGAAACAUUUCACAUAUGAUAAUACUUGGUGGUACACUUCAAUUGCAAUAUCAGCCCGUUCAAAAUCAAAGUAGACACAUUAUAUAUAUAUGCCAAAUAUUAUGCUUGCUGAAGGCAGCAAUAUUGCUGAAAAGUGGUAAACAAAGUUUUCCUUCAAAUGUGGCUUAAAAAACUAAUUAACUAAUCACUAAAAUACCAUCUUAAGGAUAAUAAUGUGGUAUUAAUAAUUAUUUGGUUUUUUAACUUGCAUACUUAAUUUUAAUUCUAAAGCCCAAAGCAUUGUUGCACACCGAUUGAGGAUCAAUGCCGUAAACGUAUUACAAAUCAUUACAAUACAGCAACCGAAAAAGAUAAAUUAGUCAAUUUUAGUAACUAACGUAGGAUACAUGGGGGAACUAUCAACAUUAGCCCGUUUUGUGUAAAUCUCGAUCCUCCUACAAACGGCAACAGCUGGUUCGUGUCAUCUAUCAGUACUAUUAUAAGAUGUUGACAUUUCUGCGGUGCAGCUCCGUUCUAAACGUGUCGUGUUUUUAUCUGUUAUGUUUUUUGUC